Molecule: ribosomal RNA, 301 nt
Filed under: uncultured bacterium
Lineage: Bacteria
Description: partial 16S ribosomal RNA
Rfam family: Bacterial small subunit ribosomal RNA
Source: RNAcentral
CAGCCGCCGCGGGAAUACGUAGGGUGCAAGCGUUAAUCGGAGUUACUGGGCAUAAAGCGUGCGCAGGCGGUUCUAUAAGACAGAUGUGAAAUCCCCGGGCUCAACCUGGGAACUGCAUUUGUGACUGUAGAGCUGGAGUGCGGCAGAGGGGGAUGGAAUUCCGCGUGUAGCAGUGAAAUGCGUAGAUAUGCGGAGGAACACCGAUGGCGAAGGCAAUCCCCUGGGCCUGCACUGACGCUCAUGCACGAAAGCGUGGGGAGCAAACAGGAUUAGAUACCCCAGUAGUCCCUGUCUCUUAUAC